This 95-nucleotide non-coding RNA is filed under the name Oryzias latipes (Japanese medaka). RNAcentral's name for it is "Eukaryotic large subunit ribosomal RNA". It matches the Rfam family "Eukaryotic large subunit ribosomal RNA", at positions 2229 to 2324 of the family's 3401-position model. Lineage: Eukaryota; Metazoa; Chordata; Actinopteri; Beloniformes; Adrianichthyidae. The record is from Rfam by way of RNAcentral.
AUUUCUUUUCAUUAAGUUUUAACAUUGUUGUAACUAUGACUCUCUUAAGGUAGCCAAAUGCCUCGUCAUCUAAUUAGUGAUGCGCAUGAAUGGAU